GACGAACGCUGGCGGCGUGCCUAAUACAUGCAAGUCGAGCGAGCGGAACUAACAGAUUUACUUCGGUAAUGACGUUAGGAAAGCGAGCGGCGGAUGGGUGAGUAACACGUGGGGAACCUGCCCCAUAGUCUGGGAUACCACUUGGAAACAGGUGCUAAUACCGGAUAAGAAAGCAGAUCGCAUGAUCAGCUUUUAAAAGGCGGCGUAAGCUGUCGCUAUGGGAUGGCCCCGCGGUGCAUUAGCUAGUUGGUAAGGUAAAGGCUUACCAAGGCGAUGAUGCAUAGCCGAGUCGAGAGACUGAUCGGCCACAUUGGGACUGAGACACGGCCCAAACUCCUACGGGAGGCAGCAGUAGGGAAUCUUCCACAAUGGACGCAAGUCUGAUGGAGCAACGCUGCGUGAGUGAAGAAGGUUUUCGGAUCGUAAAGCUCUGUUGUUGGUGAAGAAGGAUAGAGGUAGUAACUGGCCUUUAUUUGACGGUAAUCAACCAGAAAGUCACGGCUAACUACGUG
This 512-nucleotide ribosomal RNA is filed under the name uncultured bacterium. Its description in RNAcentral is "partial 16S ribosomal RNA". It matches the Rfam family "Bacterial small subunit ribosomal RNA", at positions 28 to 507 of the family's 1533-position model. The record is from RNAcentral.